Molecule: ribosomal RNA, 253 nt
Filed under: uncultured bacterium
Lineage: Bacteria
Description: partial 16S ribosomal RNA
Rfam family: Bacterial small subunit ribosomal RNA
Source: RNAcentral
GACGAACCGUGCGAGCGUUGUUCGGAAUCACUGGGCUUAAAGGGCGCGUAGGCGGGCUGUCAAGUCUGGGGUGAAAUGCUGCGGCUCAACCGUAGAACUGCCUUAGAUACUGACGGCCUCGAGGAAGGUAGGGGCAUGCGGAACUGUAGGUGGAGCGGUGAAAUGCGUUGAUAUCUACAGGAACUCCGGUGGCGAAAGCGGCGUGCUGGACCUUUUCUGACGCUGAGGCGCGAAAGCUAGGGGAGCAAACGGG